Felis catus (domestic cat) is the source of this 1060-nucleotide long non-coding RNA. RefSeq lists it as uncharacterized. NCBI's taxonomy places the organism in Eukaryota, Metazoa, Chordata, Mammalia, Carnivora, Felidae. The record is from RefSeq and is a predicted model, not a curated record. The transcript is spliced from 4 exons.
GAGGAGAAGAAAGGAGCCGGGCUUUGGGGCAGGAUGUCUGGGCCGGAACCCCGGGUCUGCGGCUCCCCGGCGGGUAACACCAGGCCAGUUGCCUGGCCCGCCCGCACUGCACGUUCCUCAAGCCUGAGAUGGCAGUGACAGGCGGGCCCUUCCCUUACAAGGUGCCUGUGAGGAUUAAGUGAGAUGCUACACGCGGAGCGGGGCGCUCAGACUGCAGGCCCAUAGUAAGAGCUCGAUGAACAGUAACCGUAACUGUCAUUUAGAACCCACUCAAGGUUCUCAACCUCUCCAGGGGCGAUAAAUGCCCCAAAGAGUGCUAUCAAUCUUACUGGACAAGCGGGAACCCUAAUGUAGAGAUGUGCCUUAUGCGGAGGAGGAGGAAGAAGGGAUAAUUUACUUAGCACUUGCCCAGUACUGUAUUUCGGGUUGACAUACAUCUCUAGAAUCUGACGCCUUCCCUUUUCCCUAAUUAGCUAUCACCUGGGGUGACGACUCCGAGAAAUCCACACAACUAGAUUCUGUACUUUUUUACCGGCUGUAGGACUAACUGCAGACUGCGAGUCUUUCUCUGAAGCAUCACUUUACAUGAGCCAGAAACUGUAAUUUCCACUUUGCUGCACCUCUGAGUACAGGCGGCAGGUGCCAAGUGUUCCAAGCCAUCCUGUUUCAGGGCAGCUGUUUUUGCUACCGUGGAGUGUAGACAAGAGGGAAGAAGUGCUCCCUGGAAUCCAAGCCCCCCCCCCCCCAGCACUGGCACACUUGCAAGGAGUGCUCUCCAACCCGAGGAUCGAGGAUCGAGGAUCGAGGAUUGAGUUCCCUCAACCACCCAGAAUGCUAAUGGCUCCCCAAGCCCUCGUUUAUGCAGAAUUCGUGCUUGGUCCCCUUUGAUUCCCUCACAGGCUCUUCCUGCUAGAGAUUUCAGAGUUACGGGAGGUUUCGCUGCUCACACCCACUUUAUCCUUUUCUGUAAUUAAAUGUACAGACCCUGUGACUUAGAGUUCAUCUGUCAGCGUAAAAUUUACAUACCGACGCUUAUUAAAUAUUAAAGCUACUCUCCCUU